UAGCUCAGUUGGUAGAGUGCUUGCCUCUCAUGCACAAGGCCCUGGGUUCAAUCCCCAG
RNAcentral lists this transfer RNA (58 nucleotides) under Marmota marmota marmota (Alpine marmot). It matches the Rfam family "tRNA", at positions 8 to 63 of the family's 71-position model. Rfam says of the family: Transfer RNA (tRNA) molecules are approximately 80 nucleotides in length. Their secondary structure includes four short double-helical elements and three loops (D, anti-codon, and T loops). Lineage: Eukaryota; Metazoa; Chordata; Mammalia; Rodentia; Sciuridae. The record is from Rfam by way of RNAcentral. RNAcentral also lists the same sequence under 6 other names.